AUCCAGCUGAUGAGUCACAAAUAGGACGAAACGCGCGUCCUGGAU
This is a non-coding RNA of Schistosoma mattheei, 45 nucleotides long. The record is from Rfam. Lineage: Eukaryota; Metazoa; Platyhelminthes; Trematoda; Strigeidida; Schistosomatidae.